This 492-nucleotide ribosomal RNA is filed under the name uncultured bacterium. Its description in RNAcentral is "partial 16S ribosomal RNA". It matches the Rfam family "Bacterial small subunit ribosomal RNA", at positions 29 to 507 of the family's 1533-position model. The record is from RNAcentral.
AGUGAACGCUGGCGGUAGGCCUAACACAUGCAGGUCGAACGGCAGCACAGUAAGAGCUUGCUCUUACGGGUGGCGAGUGGCGGACGGGUGAGGAAUACAUCGGAAUCUACUUUUUCGUGGGGGAUAACGUAGGGAAACUUACGCUAAUACCGCAUACGACCUACGGGUGAAAGCAGGGGAUCUUCGGACCUUGCGCGAUUGAAUGAGCCGAUGUCGGAUUAGCUAGUUGGCGGGGUAAAGGCCCACCAAGGCGACGAUCCGUAGCUGGUCUGAGAGGAUGAUCAGCCACACUGGAACUGAGACACGGUCCAGACUCCUACGGGAGGCAGCAGUGGGGAAUAUUGGACAAUGGGCGCAAGCCUGAUCCAGCCAUACCGCGUGGGUGAAGAAGGCCUUCGGGUUGUAAAGCCCUUUUGUUGGGAAAGAAAGGCAGCAGGUUAAUACCCCGCUGUUCUGACGGUACCCAAAGAAUAAGCAGCGGCUAACUUCGUG